RNAcentral lists this long non-coding RNA (637 nucleotides) under Olea europaea subsp. europaea. Lineage: Eukaryota; Viridiplantae; Streptophyta; Magnoliopsida; Lamiales; Oleaceae. The record is from RNAcentral.
AUUCAUUAUAUGUUGCAUUUCUUAGAUCAAUAAAAUUUUGUAUAAUUUUUGGGUUUAAAUUUGUUAAAGAUUUAUGAUCUAUAUUUCUUUGGGGACCUAAUCGAAGAUUUUUAUACAUUGUAAUGGCUUUGGUUCCAAAUUCUCUAUGAAGGGUAUUUUUGGAAAAAUUAUUUUUCAAAGGUUAUUCUUCAAAUGAUUAUAUUUUUUGGUCUAAUCUCACAAUUUGCUAUUCUAUUUAGGCUGUUAGCAGGUAUUUCCUCUGGUUCAACAACGUUUUAUGUUGUGCACUAUUAAAACCCUUGAAAUCAAAUGCGUGCAUCUGUUCCCACGUAUUUCAAAAUUAUUUAGGGGCCUCAAAAAGUAAUGGAGAAUGUAAAAGUUUCUCAUUUUUUUAAAAUUUUUUUUUUUGGGUUUAGGUGUUGACGUGUUGUUCUAUUUUGUUUCAAUUGUUUGGCUAUUUUGAUUUUGUUCGAUUUUGUUUUGCCCUUGCUACUCAAAGUCUGCCUAUUUUGUUUUGAUUUUGUUCUAUUUUGGAGUUAUUGAUGUUGAUUGUUGAGCAUUUGAAAAUUUUAAUAUUAAUUAUGUUAUUAUUUAUUCAUUUGGGAAUUUAUGUUUGCGAAUUGCGAAUUGCGAAUUG